ACUCGAGCUAAUACCGCAUACGCCCUACGGGGGAAAGCGGGGGAUCUUCGGACCUCGCGCUAUUAGAUGAGCCUGCGUAAGAUUAGCUAGUUGGUGGGGUAAUGGCCUACCAAGGCGACGAUCUUUAGCUGGUCUGAGAGGAUGAUCAGCCACACCGGGACUGAGACACGGCCCGGACUCCUACGGGAGGCAGCAGUGGGGAAUAUUGCGCAAUGGGCGAAAGCCUGACGCAGCCAUGCCGCGUGUGUGAAGAAGGCCUUCGGGUUGUAAAGCACUUUCAAUUGGGAGGAAAGGUUCACGAUUAAUACUCGUGAGCUGUGACGUUACCUUUAGAAGAAGCACCGGCUAACUCCGUGCCAGCAGCCGCGGUAAUACGGAGGGUGCAAGCGUUAAUCGGAAUUACUGGGCGUAAAGCGCGCGUAGGUGGCUUGUUAAGUCGGAUGUGAAAGCCCCGGGCUCAACCUGGGAACUGCAUCCGAUACUGGCAAGCUAGAGUGCGGGAGAGGGAGGUAGAAUUCCACGUGUAGCGGUGAAAUGCGUAGAUAUGUGGAGGAAUACCAGUGGCGAAGGCGGCCUCCUGGCUCGACACUGACACUGAGGUGCGAAAGCGUGGGUAGCAAACAGGAUUAGAUACCCUGGUAGUCCACGCCGUAAACGAUGUCUACUAGCUGUAGGGGUACUUGAGACCUUUGUAGCGCAGCUAACGCACUAAGUAGACCGCCUG
This 724-nucleotide ribosomal RNA is filed under the name uncultured Gammaproteobacteria bacterium. RNAcentral's name for it is "bacterial SSU rRNA". It matches the Rfam family "Bacterial small subunit ribosomal RNA", at positions 156 to 875 of the family's 1533-position model. The record is from RNAcentral. Lineage: Bacteria; Pseudomonadati; Pseudomonadota; Gammaproteobacteria.